Molecule: ribosomal RNA, 368 nt
Filed under: uncultured soil bacterium
Lineage: Bacteria
Description: bacterial SSU rRNA
Rfam family: Bacterial small subunit ribosomal RNA
Source: RNAcentral
AGGACGAACGCUGGCGGCGUGCCUAAUACAUGCAAGUCUAAGGGGGUUGGUUCCUUCGGGGACCAAUUCACUGGCGCACGGGUGAGUAACGCGUAAAUAAUCUGCCUCUGGGUCUGGCAUAACUUCGGGAAACCGGGCUAAUUCCAGAUGAUACCGCAAGGUCAAAGCCUUGGCGCCCAGAGAUGAGUUUGCGUCUGAUUAGCUAGUUGGCGGGGUAAUGGCCCACCAAGGCGACGAUCAGUAGCCGGUCUGAGAGGAUGAUCGGCCACAUUGGGACUGAGACACGGCCCAGACUCCUACGGGAGGCAGCAGUAAGGAAUAUGCGCAAUGGACGAAAGUCUAGACGCAGCAACGCCGCGUGCAGGAUG